AGAGUUUGAUCCUGGCUCAGGAUGAACGCUGGCGGCGUGCCUAAUACAUGCAAGUCGAGCGAACGGACGAGAAGCUUGCUUCUCUGAUGUUAGCGGCGGACGGGUGAGUAACACGUGGAUAACCUACCUAUAAGACUGGGAUAACUUCGGGAAACCGGAGCUAAUACCGGAUAAUAUUUUAAACCGCAUGGUUCAAAAGUGAAAGACGGUCUUGCUGUCACUUAUAGAUGGAUCCGCGCUGCAUUAGCUAGUUGGUAAGGUAACGGCUUACCAAGGCAACGAUGCAUAGCCGACCUGAGAGGGUGAUCGGCCACACUGGAACUGAGACACGGUCCAGACUCCUACGGGAGGCAGCAGUAGGGAAUCUUCCGCAAUGGGCGAAAGCCUGACGGAGCAACGCCGCGUGAGUGAUGAAGGUCUUCGGAUCGUAAAACUCUGUUAUUAGGGAAGAACAUAUGUGUAAGUAACUGUGCACAUCUUGACGGUACCUAAUCAGAAAGCCACGGCUAACUACGUGCCAGCAGCCGCGGUAAUACGUAGGUGGCAAGCGUUAUCCGGAAUUAUUGGGCGUAAAGCGCGCGUAGGCGGUUUUUUAAGUCUGAUGUGAAAGCCCACGGCUCAACCGUGGAGGGUCAUUGGAAACUGGAAAACUUGAGUGCAGAAGAGGAAAGUGGAAUUCCAUGUGUAGCGGUGAAAUGCGCAGAGAUAUGGAGGAACACCAGUGGCGAAGGCGACUUUCUGGUCUGUAACUGACGCUGAUGUGCGAAAGCGUGGGGAUCAAACAGGAUUAGAUACCCUGGUAGUCC
RNAcentral lists this ribosomal RNA (806 nucleotides) under uncultured bacterium. RNAcentral describes it as "bacterial SSU rRNA". It matches the Rfam family "Bacterial small subunit ribosomal RNA", at positions 8 to 796 of the family's 1533-position model. The record is from RNAcentral.